This 421-nucleotide ribosomal RNA is filed under the name uncultured bacterium. Its description in RNAcentral is "partial 16S ribosomal RNA". It matches the Rfam family "Bacterial small subunit ribosomal RNA", at positions 360 to 773 of the family's 1533-position model. The record is from RNAcentral.
AAUAUUGGACACUGGGGGCAACCCUGAUCCAGCCAUGCCGCGUGUGUGAAGAAGUUCUUCGGCUUUUAAAGCACUUUAAGUUGGGAGGAAGGGCUUUAGGUUAAUACCCUGAAGUUUUGACGUUACCACCCGAAUAAUCCCCGGCUAACUCUGUUCCAGCAGCCGCUGUAAUCCCGAGGGUGCACGCGUUAAUCGGAAUUACUGGGCGUAAAGCGCGCGUAGGUGGUUCAGUAAGAUGGGUGUGAAAUCCCCGGGCUUAACCUGGGAACUGCUUUCAUAACUGCUGAGCUAGAGUACGGUAGAGGGUAGUGGAAUUUCCUGUGUAGCGGUGAAAUGCGUAGAUAUAGGAAGGAACACCAGUGGCGAAGGCGACUACCUGGACUGAUACUGACACUGAGGUGCGAAAGCGUGGGGAGCAAAC